RNAcentral lists this ribosomal RNA (253 nucleotides) under uncultured bacterium. RNAcentral describes it as "partial 16S ribosomal RNA". It matches the Rfam family "Bacterial small subunit ribosomal RNA", at positions 524 to 776 of the family's 1533-position model. The record is from RNAcentral.
UACGAAGGGGGCUAGCGUUGCUCGGAAUCACUGGGCGUAAAGGGUGCGUAGGCGGGUCUUUAAGUCAGGGGUGAAAUCCUGGAGCUCAACUCCAGAACUGCCUUUGAUACUGAGGAUCUUGAGUUCGGGAGAGGUGAGUGGAACUGCGAGUGUAGAGGUGAAAUUCGUAGAUAUUCGCAAGAACACCAGUGGCGAAGGCGGCUCACUGGCCCGAUACUGACGCUGAGGAACGAAAGCGUGGGGAGCAAACAGG